CCUACGGGAGGCAGCAGUGGGGGAUAUUGCACAAUGGGGGGAACCCUGAUGCAGCGACGCCGCGUGGGGGAAGAAGCGCCUCGGCGCGUAAAGCCCUGUCAGCAGGGAAGAAAAUGACGGUACCUGAAGAAGAAGCCCCGGCUAACUACGUGCCAGCAGCCGCGGGAAUACGGAGGGGGCAAGCGUGAUCCGGAUUUACUGGGUGUAAAGGGGGCGCAGACGGCGGUGCAAGCCAGGAGUGAAAGUCCGGGGCCCAACCCCGGGACUGCACUUGGAACUGCGUGGCUGGAGUGCAGGAGGGGCAGGCGGAAUUCGUGGUGUAGCGGUGAAAUGCGUAGAUAUCAGGAGGAACGCCGGUGGCGAAGGCGGCCUGCUGGACUGCAACUGACGUUGAGGCCCGAAAGCGUGGGGAGCAAACAGGAUUAGAUACCCGGGUAGUC
RNAcentral lists this ribosomal RNA (440 nucleotides) under uncultured bacterium. RNAcentral's name for it is "partial 16S ribosomal RNA". It matches the Rfam family "Bacterial small subunit ribosomal RNA", at positions 338 to 795 of the family's 1533-position model. The record is from RNAcentral.